Gallus gallus (chicken) is the source of this 4121-nucleotide long non-coding RNA. RefSeq lists it as uncharacterized. The record is from RefSeq and is a predicted model, not a curated record. The transcript is spliced from 3 exons. Lineage: Eukaryota; Metazoa; Chordata; Aves; Galliformes; Phasianidae.
CAUCCUGCAAAGAGUCAGCUCAUUAACUUGACCACCUCUGUCCUCCUCUUCAAAUGUUUCUUGUUUACAGCCUCUCAGAUGGGAUUAGAAGGUCUCAGGACAUAUAUUUAGAUAUGUCAAAACCAAGAGACUUAUGAAAGCCUAGAAGCAGACAAGAUGCAUCUCACAGACAGUUGCUAGUGUUUCCUUGUUAAAUUCUUCAUUAUAGUUUAUGCCGUGUCAGUAGCUACAUGGUGAUAAAGCAAAUGACGCAGGUAUCCUGACAGCCAAUUUCAAUGACCAGAAGGCAGAAAAUGCCAAGUCCCCUUUCUUUAACAGCUAGACGAAUGAUGUUUGAUCAAAGAACAGAAUCUAAGCAUCAUGGUACUUACCUAGCCCAUCAUGAAUAGCCUCAGGAAAUAACUGGAACUCUCAGUUUUAUAAAGAGAUGUUCAAGACCAUUUAAUCUUUUUCAUUCCACUUGAAUUCUUAAGCCUUCCAAGACCAAUCACAGCAUGUGCAGGCAAAAUCCCAAGCAUUUAAAAUCAUGUACACAAAAAUAGAACUUGAGCAAUGCAUUUUCAGUCUUUAAUUCUUCAGUCCCUUUGACAAGGCUGCUUGCUGAGUCAGUUCUUGUAUUCUCUUAGCCUCACUGAUAGAGGCUUCUGGUUCCUGCAUGUGGCCAAAACAAACUGUGACAGCAGGCUUAAAGACAAAGCAGUGAAGUUUAGGACAUCAGUGGGCAUCUCAAUAUAUUUUCACAUUUACUUCCAGGACUCUGUGGCCCGGCUACUUGUUUGGAUUUGGGGAUGGGAUGGUAUUGCCUGGAAAGUUGGCUUCUGGGUCAUUGCUUGUACUGUUAAUGAAAAGUGCCACUUUCUUAAGAAUCACUCUAACUUCAUCCCAGGGAAUCAUUUUGUUGUCUCAGGAAGUUCACUGUGAUGGAGAUAAUGGGGCAAAUGUUUCAGGUUUCCAUAUGAAGAAUGCCAUGGCAGAGCUUUGAUGAGCCCAAGUUGCUAAAAGAAACAUUUAAGAUUUCAGACUUGCAGCUGUGUAAAAAGCCAUUGAUUCUGAUUGCUCUUAAAUUACAACAGAAAUGCUUGAAAGAAAUAAAUUUCCCUGGCUCUAAAUGAGCAUUUUAGAACCCCCAGCAGGAUUUUGAUGUUAGCUUACAGAAAAGCAAAUGUUUGCUCAGCUCCAUCUUCAAACACUUUCAGCAUUUUGACCACCGUAUGUAGCACUCAUCUGAAAUCUUCCUGAGCUACUUUUAACUACUUCACUUCCAUGGUAUAUUGAAAUGAAUUAUACAGGUAUGUGUGAUUCUUUUUGGCUGGUUUUUCUGCUAUCCCAUCUGAGAUCUGUGGGAUUCUUAACAGGUGAAAAUGGAUUUGGGACUAGAAGAGACCAAUUUGCACAUCAAGUUAUGACGUGCUCUAUAGUUGCAGCAACUGGGUAAUAUAUGCUUGGACCAUUAAAGGUCUGCAGCAUAUCCACUAUUUACAGUUCAAGAUCACACAGGUCAGGAAAUGUUCUCAAAAGCUCUGCUGCAACUGUGGUACAAAAGGCCAACAACCACAGGAGAAGAUCAGGGGAGAUGAAGGGGCUUGUCCUCACACUGUGCCAUUGUAAUGGCAGGGAGUAUUCAGGUGUCCAGAUGAUCUGAGAAAGGUCACAGAGGGUAGAGAAAUACUUGUAUAAUAUUUUCAUUCUGUGCAUUACAGCAGGAUUUGAGAUGUCACUUCUUAGAGAAAAUCACAUUAGGACAUAGAGUCCUUUAUUGAAAAUCAGAACAUUUGGAUCAUGCGUGUAGCUAAUUGAAGUGAUGUGCCCAGAAUAUUUUCCACUAUUCCUGUUUUACUUGACUGCACUUAAACCAAUUUUAUGUGCCCACCACACCAACAUCUUCAAAUGAGUAGUGCGUAUUUUAAUCCAGCAGGGUAAAACUGAUAGCUUUUAUAAUGACAAAAUUAUUAAUGCAAGUAUUAUAGAAAUGAAUAUAGUUACUGUAUUUCUUUGGAACAAAAUUAUUUUAGCAUUAACCCUAUGAUGGCAGGGCACAGCAGAUCACAAUAUCUUUGAUAUUAUUUUGAAUUUCAGUUUAAAAUCUAAUUCAUUGUAGGUGAACUCCUUAAGGGUUAGCUGCCAUAGUUUCCUUAUGCAAAUCACACUGCACCUCCCUGAUUAGUUGCUUGACCUUCUCUGUACUUACAAUUGAAACCAGAAUGUAAAUUUAAGAAAAAAGCUUUCUGUAAUUCAUUUGGAAAUGCAUGGCUUCUUGGGUCUGCCCAUUACAUGGUGCACUACAUAUUCUGCACAAACAUUGCAUACAGCUGCGAGAAAGAUGAGGAGCUGUGUUCUCCAAAACUGCUUGGUUACAUUGCAGGGGAAUGGGGUUACUCACUGCAUAAACCACUGCUCAGUGAGUUACAGCCUGGCCCUCAAACGAUAACUGUGUUUAUGCCUCAAAUUCCCCCCACGCACAUGGGGAGUGGGUAUUUGAUGACUCCUCGUCAGAGCAUGGCUCCAUCAGGGGGCUAGGGAGAAAGGUAUGGCUACAGCAGAAGUAAAUCAAUUGAAUGCCAUUUGGACAACGCAUCUUGUAUAUUCUUCAAUCAAAAGACUAAAUUAGGUAAGGUUAUUUGUUUGCUAAUCGUGUCCUAAAACAUGCUUGUAAGCUUUUAUUUUUAAUUGAAUUCAUUAUUAUAUUGCAAGAUAGCCAGUUUUAAAAUAAGGUGCUUAUUAAAUCUGGUAAACAUUGCAUUGUUGGGAGAAAUAGUUGUGUAAGCAAGACGUGUUUAGCAGCACUUUUAGAGAGUACAGAUAACUUCUGUUAGAGAGUUGGUGUGACUCAAACACAGAGUGGUGGACGCAGAGAAAACCGCCCCCAGGAGCCUUUCCACUGCACCUUUCUUUCUUCUUGAUUUUUCUUGACACAAAGCAGGAAACUUUCAACUGACAUUUCCAUGUCUGGGUGUCUAGGUGCUAGAAUAUCCUGAUGUCUCAGAGGAGAGUGCAGUUGUGUAGGGUUGCCUUUGUCCUCACUAGAUUGGAUCAUGAGGAGGUUUUCAGGUGACAAAAUGUGAUGUAACUGUAUUUGAGAAGGGACCAUCUUUCACAUGCUCAGGAGAAAAUCAACUGAAUUCUAAACUGGGAAAUUACUAUCCAUAUUUUAUUAGCCGAAGUAAUGAUAGAAGAGAGAGAUUUAGAUAGUACUGCCUAAAUCCCAAGGUAAUUUAUUCACUGGUUAACAAUGUUCAGUAGAAGAUACCUCUAGUAAGUAUGUAAAUCAAAGGAGAGGUAGGAGAGAAAAGCUGCAUAUCUUAUAUAAUAAGAUUGCUGAAUGGGAGUUACAGAUGUUUUAGCAUAAGUAUGAAAUUAUUGGAAUAAGUGAGACAUGGGUGAAUGAGAAAAAUGAUUGGGGAUUUAAAACAUCAAGAAAUUACUGAAAUGUACAAAAUGAACAAAGAGACGUGGGAAUGCUAUUGGUAAGGGCUUAUGGAGGCUUGCAUAGAAAUGAGAUAUAUAUAUGUUUGGAUGAUAUGGCAAGGACUCUGUGCAUUGAGGUUAAUGGUAAUGGAAGUAGACAAAUAGUUUUGGCCUUUUUCUCACUAGUCUCCAGUGAAUGAAAGUCAGAAAAAGGUUUUAUAAAUAUGAUUAAAAGGUUAAUGCAUUAAAUACUGAUUGAUACAGUGCAUGCUUAUGAAGGACAGAAUUCUUACACAGUUAUGUUCCUGGAAUUGUCAAUUCAGUGGGAAUAGCUGCAGAAUCAAAUACCACAGAGGAAGUGAAAUCGAUAAAACAUGCCCCAGUUUCUCAGAUGCAAAUUUAGUAUUAUCCUUAUCUGCUUGUUUAUGAAAACGUCAAUACACUAUAUUAAAACAGCUCCAAACCUGUAGCAAGCCACUGAAUGGCUUAGAGUAGGGAAAAGGUAUCCGAAUCAUGAAAGCUCCUGAGUUUCUGGCUCUUCUUGCUAAUAUUCAUGGUCAUGUUUCUCCCAGCAAAGAGCUUGAAAUUCGUGCUUCAAAUCUCUUAGUUUUCAAGUCUGGCAGGCACUUAAAAUAAUGCUAAUGCUAAUAACGGUAGCCUGUCUUCAUGUUACCUAGUUUGUCUCUUUAUCACUUGCUAGAGAAGUCAUCUUUUUA